UCUCAACCUCACACAGGAAAGGACGCUAUCAUGUUCCUUCCAGAACUCUUUAGGGUUAAAUCUGCAUCUCAGACUAUCGGAAAGCACAAGCAGCCAGCAUUCGAGUGGUAACUCAAGAUUUUGCUCGGAUUGAACGCAGGACCUUUGCUCUGUUAUAAACCUAGCCUGUUCUAUAUUUUAAAACAAGGAAUCAGUAAGCUGCUACGUUAUCCAGGCUGGUAUGAACUUGUGAUCCUCCUGCCUCGGGCUCUCAGAGUGCACCACAACCAACUAGAGAUCCAAGAGAGCUGCGGCAGCGGUGCUCGCCGGAUGCAUCCAGAUAAGACCAGCUAGUAAUGACGCUUGAGCUGCGCGCGCCGGGGCUCUGCAACAGGCUGCAUGGGUUACAAGCCACUGUCAUCCUCCCGCUUCCCGUGCCGACAGCGGCUCCACAGGCAG
Molecule: long non-coding RNA, 438 nt
Organism: Heterocephalus glaber (naked mole-rat)
Lineage: Eukaryota; Metazoa; Chordata; Mammalia; Rodentia; Bathyergidae
Source: Ensembl